UAAGUACAGAGUUUCUCUCACUUUGCGAGAGGAAUCCUUGCACAAGUGUGAGUGCGUCCAGUUGCAUGACUGCUGUGCUGCCUUCGCUUCCAGCCAGAAGGGACGACGACUUUCUCGCAGUCAUUUUCGAGCUGUUUGUGCGGAAUGAUGUGAGUCUUGUCGCAGCGGAUAUCGCGUUGAUGGGCGUCGCGGUUGAUUGAAAUUUUGAAUUUUGUGGAAUAAUAAAAGUGAACUGCGCGUUUUUCGUGCGAUUGUUAUGGAUUACGAAAAUGAUGGAAGAUUGAUAGGAUUCGAAACUGAGGUUUGAGCUGGUGUUAUAGUGGAGUGUGGACGGCUUUUGGCCGAAAGUGAUGUUGGGAUGCUGGAUUUUAUUGAAUGUGUCGGUCAGAAAAGUGUAGUGUAGAGGAUUGGCCAAGGAAGUCAGUGAUGCUAAGUUUCAGUUAGUGCUGCAAGGAUAAGACGUGUUAUGGUUUACGUUACGAAAUUAAUGAUGAUCAAGUUGAGUUAAACUUUCUAUCCAAAGGUAAAUAUUUUUAAUUUUUCAUAUAGUGAAACUAAAGUUUAGUGGAAGAAGGAGUGUCUCGCCUUUUUUUGGCUCAACUGGAGAAAAAUCCUGGUUGGCAGGCCACAGAAUACAAGCAUCAGAACACUCAUACAAGCUCGGUCUUUUUGUAGACCAGCCAUUGCACAGUGGCCUGAGCAGCGGCACUCAGCACGGCGGCAGUCAGUGAGUGAGCCUCAGUCAGUCAGUGGUGUUGUUUGAAUGCAGUUUCCAGAUCCGGACAGACACCACCAUGCAGAUAGCUAGGUGGCACCGAGUAGACAGUGCAUGAAUGUAAUCUUGCAAAGAGUAACAAAAAAAACAAUUAACGAAAAUAUUGAACCGAGUGCGUUCCGCCCAAAGAGCGCUGCACUGCACUGUGUGCGAAGCAAAGCGGUUGUUUGAAAGUGAUCAUAAAAGCGAAAAAAAAAUCGAAAGUGAACCAUACAUCAGUCAAUACCCAGCAGUAGUGUUGUGAUGAGCUGAAAUGUAUCUCCGGGCGUCAUCAUUCAGCUAAGCGGUGAAUUGUGAAGGAAAACAGAAAAAAAAACAACGAAAAUAAAAGUGUAAAGUGCUUUUUCCGACGUAUUGCGUAAAGCGAGUAAAAAUUAAGUAUUGUGGCCGCAGUAAGUGCGCUCACCCAUGCGACUGGGUGGUAUUGGUGGCAGUGGUGG
This is a long non-coding RNA of Aedes albopictus (Asian tiger mosquito), 1215 nucleotides long. RefSeq lists it as uncharacterized. Lineage: Eukaryota; Metazoa; Arthropoda; Insecta; Diptera; Culicidae. The transcript has 2 exons. The record is from RefSeq and is a predicted model, not a curated record.